RNAcentral lists this ribosomal RNA (368 nucleotides) under Staphylococcus aureus. RNAcentral's name for it is "bacterial SSU rRNA". It matches the Rfam family "Bacterial small subunit ribosomal RNA", at positions 1 to 358 of the family's 1533-position model. Lineage: Bacteria; Bacillati; Bacillota; Bacilli; Caryophanales; Staphylococcaceae. The record is from RNAcentral.
UUUAUGGAGAGUUUGAUCCUGGCUCAGGAUGAACGCUGGCGGCGUGCCUAAUACAUGCAAGUCGAGCGAACGGACGAGAAGCUUGCUUCUCUGAUGUUAGCGGCGGACGGGUGAGUAACACGUGGAUAACCUACCUAUAAGACUGGGAUAACUUCGGGAAACCGGAGCUAAUACCGGAUAAUAUUUUAAACCGCAUGGUUCAAAAGUGAAAGACGGUCUUGCUGUCACUUAUAGAUGGAUCCGCGCUGCAUUAGCUAGUUGGUAAGGUAACGGCUUACCAAGGCAACGAUGCAUAGCCGACCUGAGAGGGUGAUCGGCCACACUGGAACUGAGACACGGUCCAGACUCCUACGGGAGGCAGCAGUAGG